This 253-nucleotide ribosomal RNA is filed under the name uncultured bacterium. RNAcentral's name for it is "partial 16S ribosomal RNA". It matches the Rfam family "Bacterial small subunit ribosomal RNA", at positions 524 to 776 of the family's 1533-position model. The record is from RNAcentral.
UACAGAGGGGGCAAGCGUUGUUCGGAAUUACUGGGCGUAAAGGGCGCGUAGGCGGCCUGCUAAGUCGAACGUGAAAUCCCCGAGCUCAACUCGGGAACUGCGUCCGAUACUGGCAGGCUUGAAUCCGGGAGAGGGAUGCGGAAUUCCAGGUGUAGCGGUGAAAUGCGUAGAUAUCUGGAGGAACACCGGUGGCGAAGGCGGCAUCCUGGACCAUUACUGACACUGAAAAGCGAAAGCCAGGGGAGCAAACGGG